This 231-nucleotide long non-coding RNA is filed under the name Capsicum annuum. Its description in RNAcentral is "long non-coding RNA (CANN_LNC019703)". The record is from RNAcentral. Lineage: Eukaryota; Viridiplantae; Streptophyta; Magnoliopsida; Solanales; Solanaceae.
ACUCCCUCAUACAUAUCAAAAUAUCAUAUUUUGCUCCUAUUUUAGUACACUGAUUUUUGCUCCAUAUAUAUGUUCCUUUAUUUACGCCUACAAUCAAGCUAAUGUAAUAUUAAUACUCUCUCAUACCCCUCCUAUUUGUGUCUCUUUUAUAAUUGAAAUUGAAGAUGUGCACUUUCAAUUCACGUAAUAAAGGAAAUUAAAUCAUUCUUUUUCCUUAUUCUCGUGUGGCCA